Molecule: long non-coding RNA, 1907 nt
Organism: Musa acuminata AAA Group (dessert banana)
Lineage: Eukaryota; Viridiplantae; Streptophyta; Magnoliopsida; Zingiberales; Musaceae
Exons: 3
Source: RefSeq, a predicted model, not a curated record
ACCACGUGUCGUGUAUUUGUACCCAAGUACGCGGCGUAGGUCGCUAAUUCGGAAUCGAACCAUCGUUAUAACCGACUCCUCCCUCCAUCUCUCUCUCUCGCCUCUCCUCUCUUCCUCUCAUCGCAAGAAACCCCAAUGCCCGACGCCUCUUCCCUCCCAUCGCAAGAAACCCCCGGCAUAAUGUUGUGGUCGCGGAAGCCGUGAUUUAAGCGCGGAGGAGAUGAGAUCCUGGGGGUGGGGGGGGGACGAUGCAGAACACGAGCAGGCGGCGGGGAUACCUUUCUCUAUCGUCGCUGUGGUCGGCGUUACCGGGCUUGUGAUUCGUGGGCCGGAUGUGGUUUAUUUCUCCCUCGCCCCUUUGUUUCUGAGUCCGAUCCGUGUGGAUAAGUGUGCCGGCCAGGAAGCGCGGUGGGGGGCGAAGAGGUUCUUGGAUUUCUUGGAGUUUGAAGCAGAAAAUGCUGCAAGAUCAUCGAAAGACGGUCAGGGUUUCUUCAUGUGACUGCCGUUGCCGAUAAUUUCUUUCUCUGGUUGAAGUUGGUUGUUGCGAAUUCACCAGCACUGCACUUUUCCAGGAUAUAUGGAGAUGCCAAUAGACAUAAAAUUUAGGAGGUUAUUGGGAAAAGCAAUUUACUACAGAGUUAUUUGUUCGGCGGUUGAUGGUUGAUACUCUUACUGGAAAGACUGUGAUGAUUGAGAAGAUAUAAAUUAAGGUGGUUAUUCGAAAAAGGAAGUUACGGAGUUGUUUAGUCAGAGCAUUUGACAGUAGAUGAAAGAAAGUUAAGUUACGAUGAAGAAGAUAUGUGGGAUCAAGCUUCUCUUUGUUGUGAGACAUCCGGAUACUCUAAAGAUCAAGAACAAUCAUGUUGCCUCCAUCAAGGAGGGGAUUGAAAAAUAUUUUUGAGCUCAUGGAGACAGAUCUUCACCAAAUUUAUCAAGGCUAAUGAUGCUGACAGGAGAAAAUAUUCCUUCUUUUUUACCUAUACCAAUGGCUGCACACGUUAAAGUAUAUCUAUAAAGGUCAGAUCAUAUUUUCCGGUGAUAUGUUGCCAGGAUCAUGUGAUUUAAACCAGCCAUUAGCUUUAGUUUUUCUCUGACUUAGGAAAAUUAUAAUUUUUUUUAAUGUAUAUUGCUUACUGCUUUUUGACUAACUUGUUGUGGUUGCAACUGAUUUUCUUAAAACUAGAGAAGUUUGUCGACAAUUUGGUAUUAGAACUCAUAGCGUCUUGGAGUUUGGAUGGUUCUCUUCUUUAAGUUCCCAUCUUGGAUUGGUUAGAAACUGAAUUCGUGAUCUGCAUCCUCUUGAAUAGGUCAAUUUACUAGGUCUUCUUUUUUGGUUUUUAGGAAACAAAUAUUAUUGCAGCUUUGUUGUUUAAAUUUCCUGUCUUAUCCGAGUAAACCUUUUGAUGCUUCCUCUGAUCUUUCUUCAACAAGAGCUUGAAAAGCAUUGUGUAAUUCACAUUGUGUCGAUUCACUUUCUUAGGAAGUAACAACCCAUGUCAUUCGCUGACGUUCCUAAUGCUGAUCCUUUUGUACUGGAACUCAUGGAGAACUUGUUGGCCUUUUGAUCCCAAAGGAUGGGUAAUUAAUUGGCUGAAGAGGGUAUGUUAAAUCAUGUCUGUUUUUAUUUUGUUUGUUGGUUCUUAAUUUUUUGUGUGGAAAUUUUGAAGAGAUACAGAUUUGUUGCUUUUCAAUAUCUGUUACCCUCUAUAAUUACUAUUCACGUGGUAGUCUCUCCAUACUUGAUUGUGAUCGUUUAUCCUUUUUUUACAUAUGUUUGACCUUUUUUGAAUAAGAUCGAUGUUUGACAUACUGAUACGCUCAACCAUUUAAAGAUUUUUUUUUUCUCUUUAUUCUUUACAUUUAUGUUUGGUUGAAGUGUGAAGAAUAUUUUCGGUGAAAUGGGUAUG